Molecule: long non-coding RNA, 211 nt
Organism: Mastomys coucha (southern multimammate mouse)
Lineage: Eukaryota; Metazoa; Chordata; Mammalia; Rodentia; Muridae
Exons: 3
Source: RefSeq, a predicted model, not a curated record
AAAGAAAAUGGUCCCAUGGGAAUUGUCCAUAGGAUAUAGCAAACAGCUCUAGAGCCAAAGAAGCCUUCAUGGACCUGCUUCAUGGACCCUCCUAAAACUACAUACAAUAUGACCCCCAUAAAACUCAUUGGAGUAUGAGCUGGACUUUUAUAUCUCACCUUGCACAACAUCUAUGAAGAAAUAUCAAAAUAAACUUACUUUUUUCUCAUAA